Molecule: ribosomal RNA, 665 nt
Filed under: uncultured bacterium
Lineage: Bacteria
Description: bacterial SSU rRNA
Rfam family: Bacterial small subunit ribosomal RNA
Source: RNAcentral
GGUAGACGAUGGGGAUGCGUUCCAUUAGAUAGUAGGCGGGGUAACGGCCCACCUAGUCUUCGAUGGAUAGGGGUUCUGAGAGGAAGGUCCCCCACAUUGGAACUGAGACACGGUCCAAACUCCUACGGGAGGCAGCAGUGAGGAAUAUUGGUCAAUGGGCGAGAGCCUGAACCAGCCAAGUAGCGUGAAGGAUGACUGCCCUAUGGGUUGUAAACUUCUUUUAUAAAGGAAUAAAGUCGGGUAUGGAUACCCGUUUGCAUGUACUUUAUGAAUAAGGAUCGGCUAACUCCGUGCCAGCAGCCGCGGUAAUACGGAGGAUCCGAGCGUUAUCCGGAUUUAUUGGGUUUAAAGGGAGCGUAGAUGGAUGUUUAAGUCAGUUGUGAAAGUUUGCGGCUCAACCGUAAAAUUGCAGUUGAUACUGGAUAUCUUGAGUGCAGUUGAGGCAGGCGGAAUUCGUGGUGUAGCGGUGAAAUGCUUAGAUAUCACGAAGAACUCCGAUUGCGAAGGCAGCCUGCUAAGCUGCAACUGACAUUGAGGCUCGAAAGUGUGGGUAUCAAACAGGAUUAGAUACCCUGGUAGUCCACACGGUAAACGAUGAAUACUCGCUGUUUGCGAUAUACUGCAAGCGGCCAAGCGAAAGCGUUAAGUAUUCCACCUGGGGAGUA